ACCAAGGCUUCGACGGGUAGCUGGUCUGAGAGGACGAUCAGCCACACUGGGACUGAGACACGGCCCAGACUCCUACGGGAGGCAGCAGUGGGGAAUCUUGCGCAAUGGGCGAAAGCCUGACGCAGCAACGCCGCGUGGGGGAUGAAGGCUCUCGGGUUGUAAACCCCUUUCAGCAGGGACGAAUUUGACGGUACCUGCAGAAGAAGCCCCGGCCAACUACGUGCCAGCAGCCGCGGUAACACGUAGGGGGCGAGCGUUGUCCGGAUUUAUUGGGCGUAAAGAGCUCGUAGGCGGCUCAGUAAGUCGGGUGUGAAACCUCCAGGCUCAACCUGGAGACGCCACCUGAUACUGCUGUGGCUAGAGUCCGGUAGGGGAGCGUGGAAUUCCUGGUGUAGCGGUGAAAUGCGCAGAUAUCAGGAGGAACACCAGCGGCGAAGGCGGCGCUCUGGGCCGGAACUGACGCUGAGGAGCGAAAGCGUGGGUAGCAAACAGGAUUAGAUACCCUGGUAGUCCACGCCGUAAACGUUGGGC
RNAcentral lists this ribosomal RNA (531 nucleotides) under uncultured Actinomycetes bacterium. RNAcentral's name for it is "bacterial SSU rRNA". It matches the Rfam family "Bacterial small subunit ribosomal RNA", at positions 267 to 814 of the family's 1533-position model. Lineage: Bacteria; Bacillati; Actinomycetota; Actinomycetes. The record is from RNAcentral.